This 235-nucleotide long non-coding RNA is filed under the name Linum usitatissimum (flax). RNAcentral describes it as "long non-coding RNA (LUSI_LNC006154)". The record is from RNAcentral. Lineage: Eukaryota; Viridiplantae; Streptophyta; Magnoliopsida; Malpighiales; Linaceae.
UGCUGCUGAUCAGUUAGAUUAUUACCUGACGCAGCUGUAUAAAUCAGCUUCAGAAGUAAAUGCGUCAAAGCAUUACUUGAAUCAGAAUUUGGAACAUUAUCGGGUUCGUCUUUGACUCUUCGGUUUUGAAACUUUUAUUUUUCCCUGGCAUGGAUGUCAGAAAGAUGUGGACAUUACGGUCUGAUGGUGCUCCAAUAGCGUUACAAUAGCAGUAUUACUAGGAAUAAUGGGACUG